GGAGGAAGCCCAAUUCUGUUUCAACAAAGCUCUGCUGGCAGACCCAUUGCUGGAUGCAGCCAAGUCCAAUAUGGUCAAGGCAGUGGCCAUGUCUAGAUUGUGUGCAGAAUUGUCCACAUGUUUUCUUCAAAAGUAAGGAUUCCACUACCUUACAAUCAAUGAAUGGUACAUUCCUCACAUGAACAGUGAGUGGGAUCCACUUAUACACUGUUUAUGAGUGGGGAAUGUAUCAUACAUUGAUUGUAAGAUUGUGUUUGCCCAAAAGUAAUAUCUAGUCUAGUAGGUACGUAGCUUUCCUAAUCCUAAUGUAGGGCCUAAAAAGCUAAUCCUAAUGUAGGGCCUAAAAAGCUAUGUAUCAUAUUCUUUUAGUAGACAUUAACAAAUGCCUUAGUUUGUAUCUUCAUGCUUCAAUUGGAAUUAAAAAAUGAACGAACAAAUAAAAGGAUAAAAAAGAAAAAAAAAUCCCAUUCUCAUGAAGAGAUUAUAUCUUACAAUACCACUAUUUUGGUCCAUAGGAUUGUUUAUACGCGUCCAAAGAUUUAGUGUGGCUGGUCUCUUCUUAAGGGCUGGAAUAGUAGACAAAACAGAGUCACCCCUGCAUUUGACACAUAUUUUGUCGCACACCAUUCAGGACUUAUUUGAGAUCAUCUGUAUUUUGAUGCUCAUGUGUUUUUCAGGUU
This 680-nucleotide long non-coding RNA is filed under the name Citrus x clementina. Its description in RNAcentral is "Citrus clementina (C. clementina) long non-coding RNA (CCLE_LNC003880)". Lineage: Eukaryota; Viridiplantae; Streptophyta; Magnoliopsida; Sapindales; Rutaceae. The record is from RNAcentral.